RNAcentral lists this ribosomal RNA (344 nucleotides) under uncultured bacterium. RNAcentral describes it as "bacterial SSU rRNA". It matches the Rfam family "Bacterial small subunit ribosomal RNA", at positions 1 to 334 of the family's 1533-position model. The record is from RNAcentral.
GUGAGUAGUUCAGAGUUUGAUCCUGGCUCAGGAUGAACGCUGGCGGCGUGCUUAACACAUGCAAGUCGAACGGACUUUACAUGAAGCCUAGCGAAUGUAAAGUUAGUGGCGGACGGGUGAGUAACGCGUGGGUAACCUGCCAUAUACAGGGGGAUAACACUUAGAAAUAGGUGCUAAUACCGCAUAAGCGCACGGUUUCGCAUGAAACAGUGUGAAAAACUCCGGUGGUAUAUGAUGGACCCGCGCCUGAUUAGCUAGUUGGUGGGGUAACGGCCCACCAAGGCGACGAUCAGUAGCCGGCCUGAGAGGGUGAACGGCCACAUUGGGACUGAGACACGGCCCAA